Molecule: long non-coding RNA, 2588 nt
Organism: Eucalyptus grandis
Lineage: Eukaryota; Viridiplantae; Streptophyta; Magnoliopsida; Myrtales; Myrtaceae
Exons: 2
Source: RefSeq, a predicted model, not a curated record
UCUCUCUCUCUCUCUCUCUCUCUCUCUGAGUUUUGGCGUGAAUUACUGUCGCUAAAAGCUAAAUUAGUUUUGAGUGGAUCUGUUGAUUUCAUUUGUUUGAUGUUUUUUUUUUUUUUUUUGAACAGAGAUACUCGUAUCUUUAAGAUAUUUUGGUACCAUAAUUUCUAGCGAUUAGAAUUAAGAACGGUAGAAAAUUGAUACCCUCAGCUCUCUAUUUAACGGUAGAGACAGAUUGAAUACACUAUAAUGUUGCACUCUGUGGUGAACCGGAACUCUCCGCUUCUGUAAAUUGCAGCUGUCGUCUCUGCACUCCUGUGUGGUCGAACUUAUUUUGCUGGAAAAAUAGUUACAGCAUUCAUGCUUCUUUUUUCUGUUGAACUUUUAUCAACUUCACAAGUGAUUAGUAAUCCGCUCCUCUUUUUCUGAUACGCUGAUGCUGUCUGGCAGAUGUGAAUAGUAGCCUUGUGCCUAACUUUUAGUCAUAGGGGACUGCGAUUCUUUGCCUGCACCCAUUAAGUUCAAGUAAGCAACCAAUCGACUGUUGUGGAAUCUUUUUGUCAAAUUGAUUUUGGCAAAACUAAAAGAGGACGGUUUCGGCAUAACUUCUUAUGAGAUAAUAAGAUAAUUAGUCGACCUACAAGCCACAAUAGGCGCUUAUGUGCAGGGGGACAUUCAACUUUACCUUUUAAGAAAAAAUUUAUCUCGUAAGUAAAAAGUUUAAGACAAAAAUUUGUCGACAGUGAUUUAUCUUCUCUAAAUUUUCCUUUUUCCAAUCAAUUUCAAGUGUGAACUAAGACCCAUAAUUUCGCAAUAAGUUGGAGAUUUCUUCCUUUAGUAUUUAGAUGGGUCAACUUCUCUAUUAUAAUUGGGCAUAUUUUGGUGUCUAGUGCAAUGCCAGAAGGAUUUCAUGCAUUUGUCACCGAGAUUGCUUUUUAGAAUGACUUAAAACAGAAGAGUUUCUGAGAGAAAUCAUGAUAAUCAUCACCCCACUUUCAUAGUAAAUGUUUUUCGGGUGGGAUAUCAAGCCGUUGCAAGUCCUUCGAAAAUUCAGGAAAUGGAAAAGCCAGUGGAACCUUAUUAUGAAGUAUUCUUGAGCUUCAGAGGACCAGAUACUCGCCAUGGCAUCACUGAUGUCCUUUACAACGGCCUCAUUGAUGCCAGAAUAUGAGCAUACAGAGAUGAUGAAGAGCUUUGCAUUGGGGAAGAAAUUGGCCUGGAGCUUCUUCAAGCGAUUAAGCAGUCGAAAAUCUCGAUUCCUAUAUUUUCUGAAGGAUAUGCUGCUAGUAAAUGGUGCCUCAUGAAAUUGGUCCAGAUGGUGGAGUGCAAGGAAAAGUGGGGACAAAAAAUCAUACCAAUUUUCUAUGGCAUUGAACCAUGGGUGGUGCGUAAGCAGACUGCAACUUACGGUGAGGCCAUUAAGUCACACAUAAAUAAGCAGCUGUACAUUGAUUUAGUCGAGAUGAGUCGUGGCUAUUAACGAGUAGAGAAUAAAUAUUUACUUGUGUAUAUCGAUGAUCUACUGAUAUCUACGCAUGAUGAGAUUUGGUCAUAUAAAUGAUAUGUGACCUUAUUUGCCAAUUGUUAUUAUUGUGUUCUCAGGUCGACGAGUAGUGAGUAGGCCUCCCAUUUUAGAAGUAGAGACGUUUAGAUUUGCACAUCUACAUAUCUUUUUAAGGUGGAUCUUCUGUACAGGGUUAGGGAAGCUGGAAUCCUUGCUGUUAGAAUCUCAUUGUAGACAUUCAUUUGAUGUUAAGUUAUUUAUUAAUUUGAUAUUCAAAUUGUAUGUAACAUUCAGGUUUUGACAAUUUCCAUGAUGCUUCUAAAUUCAUUGAAUCUCCAAGUCCUUCGUAGCUUAGAAGCUCAAGGAACCGGAAAUGGUCCUCUCCAAGAAGCUGCAAUGCCGACCUGGCCUUCCCCCAAAUUUGCUGUGCUUAGAUACCGAAUCAUGCAGGGAAAUAAAAACAUCAAUAGACCCUUCAAAUUUGAAGGCACUGUCAGAUUUGGAAGUUGCUCAUUGCUUUAAAGUGGGAGAGUUCAGAGGCCUCCAAGUUUUGGAGAACCUGAGUGCCUUAAAGCUUGGAGGAGUUCCAUCUAUGGACAAGUUGCCUGUCCCGACCAACUUAAAGAAGCUCCAGAAAUUUUCUCUGCAGUGAUGUCCUAGGGUGGUUGAGAUCGAAGGCAGACUAAAAUCGUUGGAGGCAACUUUGGAUAGGUUCUUUUAAAUCUUUGGAGAAGUUACCAGAUCCAUCAAGCUUCAAGAAGCUAAAAUCUUUUAUAUACACAAGCGUGAGGAGGUAGAAGAUUCUCUGAGUUCUGAUGGUGGUGGACUUGAAGGAAAAGAUGCAAACCGAUCUUGCGAAAUCCUACUUGUCUGAGCAUCUUUUGUUGUUGUUAGGAUACUUUUAUGUUCUGAGUUUGGUUAAUGGUAGAAUGUAAACGUUGGUUGCGCACCUGAUUUCAGUGGUUGGCCAGUAACUCAAAAACUCUAUAUGUGGCAAGCUCCAUAUACACAUGUAACAAUCAGAAAAUAUGGUAUAAACAUUUCUUCUCUCAAUUGUGUUACUAUUGUAUCCAAGCUAAGCUUCCAA